Molecule: ribosomal RNA, 253 nt
Filed under: uncultured bacterium
Lineage: Bacteria
Description: partial 16S ribosomal RNA
Rfam family: Bacterial small subunit ribosomal RNA
Source: RNAcentral
UACGUAGGCAGCGAGCGUUGUUCGGAGUUACUGGGCGUAAAGCGUGCGUAGGCGGUGUCUCAAGUUUGUUGUGAAAUCUCCCGGCUCAACCGGGAGGGUGCGGCGAAUACUGAGAGGCUGGAGUGCGGGAGAGGUAAGCGGAAUUCCUGGUGUAGCGGUGAAAUGCGUAGAUAUCAGGAGGAACACCUGCGGUGUAGACGGCUUACUGGACCGUAACUGACGCUGAGGCACGAAAGCGUGGGUAGCAAACAGG